GACGAACGCUGGCGGCGUGCUUAACACAUGCAAGUCGAACGAAGAGCGAUGGAAGCUUGCUUCUAUCAAUCUUAGUGGCGAACGGGUGAGUAACGCGUAAUCAACCUGCCCUUCAGAGGGGGACAACAGUUGGAAACGACUGCUAAUACCGCAUACGAUCUAAUCUCGGCAUCGAGGAUAGAUGAAAGGUGGCCUCUACAUGUAAGCUAUCACUGAAGGAGGGGAUUGCGUCUGAUUAGCUAGUUGGAGGGGUAACGGCCCACCAAGGCGAUGAUCAGUAGCCGGUCUGAGAGGAUGAACGGCCACAUUGGGACUGAGACACGGCCCAGACUCCUACGGGAGGCAGCAGUGGGGAAUCUUCCGCAAUGGACGAAAGUCUGACGGAGCAACGCCGCGUGAGUGAUGACGGCCUUCGGGUUGUAAAGCUCUGUUAAUCGGGACGAAAGGCCUUCUUGCGAAUAGUUAGAAGGAUGACGGUA
RNAcentral lists this ribosomal RNA (479 nucleotides) under Veillonella parvula. RNAcentral's name for it is "bacterial SSU rRNA". It matches the Rfam family "Bacterial small subunit ribosomal RNA", at positions 28 to 477 of the family's 1533-position model. The record is from RNAcentral. Lineage: Bacteria; Bacillati; Bacillota; Negativicutes; Veillonellales; Veillonellaceae.